AGCAGUCAGUAGGGGCUCACUGAGCUCCCCGCUCUGCUGAUGAGAGCUCCUGGUGAGAGAGAGCUCUGCCGGGUGUGCUCGAUGUGGGCUUGGGCUCGGAGACUCGGCCUUAUACCCAAAUGGGGACACGGCCUAAAACUCUCGGGGAGGCCUCGGUGGCUGCUGCCCACCUGGCACAGCGUUUUCGUGGAAUGGCUUUAAACUAGGAGAGAGAGAUUUGGGUUGGAUGUUAGGAGGGAUUUUUUUCCCUCAGAAGGCAGCGAGGCUCUGGCACAGAGAAGCUGUGGAUGCCCCAUCCCUGGAGACGUUCGAGGCCAGGUUGGAUGGAGCCCUGGGCAUCCUGACCUGGCAGGUGGCAGCCCUGUCCGCGGCAGGGAGUUGGAAUACUAAGGUCUCUUCCAAACCAGGCCAUUCCCUGACUCUGAUCACCAUCCCUAAGGCAUCAGCCGUUCGGGGAGGACAUCCUCCCGGCGUCGCUCUGGGCGCUCAGGUUAAGGAAAGUGAGGCACGGAGCCGCUUCCCACCACUACUGCACAUCUCCUGCUGCGGGCGGCCCGGUCCCGGUCCC
Gallus gallus (chicken) is the source of this 568-nucleotide long non-coding RNA. The record is from Ensembl. NCBI's taxonomy places the organism in Eukaryota, Metazoa, Chordata, Aves, Galliformes, Phasianidae.